Molecule: non-coding RNA, 504 nt
Filed under: Pongo abelii (Sumatran orangutan)
Lineage: Eukaryota; Metazoa; Chordata; Mammalia; Primates; Hominidae
Source: RNAcentral
CCGUGGGAGGGAAGGCAUUCUCUGUCAAGCUGCUGUCACCUUACCUGAAGUAAGGAGUCCACGCCUGCAUGUCCGAGGAAAACAGUUUUCUCAAACACAUUAGUUGAAAAACUGAAGACACUGCCUAAAAUACAAGCUGAGUUAGAGACAGCCCUUGUAAGACUAGAAAAAGAAAUGAAAACUAAGUAACAUGAAUUAACAUAGUCCAGGGUCACAAAGCAAAAUGGAACAAGAACCUGGAUCUGAAUUCAGAGGCAGAAUGCUGGCUCCUUCAGGAGGUAUCCAAAGGCAUUGUUAUGGUGGGAGAUGACAGCUCCAUGCCUGUUAUUGCCUCUGAAGACCAUGCAGGACACCAUGUGGAGAUAGAAGACGGUGACAUUGAGGAUCCUGACCUUGUGCUGGCCUAGGCUAAUGUGUGUGUGUGUGUCUUAGUUUUUAACAAAAAAGUUUAUAAAGUAAAUAAAUAGAAAAUAGCAUAUAGAAUAAGGAUAUAAAGAAGGGAAA